AGCCACAGCCAUAUCACCCUGCAGCCCAAGACUGGUUGCCCACUGAAGCUAAGCAGGGUUGAGCCUGGUCAGUACCUGGAUGGGAGACCUACUGGGAAAACUAGGUUGCUGUUGGAA
Ribosomal RNA from Sinocyclocheilus rhinocerous, 117 nucleotides. NCBI's taxonomy places the organism in Eukaryota, Metazoa, Chordata, Actinopteri, Cypriniformes, Cyprinidae. The record is from Ensembl.